GACGAACGCUGGCGGCGUGCUUAACACAUGCAAGUCGAACGAAGCUGCUCUUUGUGAAUCCUUCGGGAGGAACUGUGAGUAGACUGAGUGGCGGACGGGUGAGUAACGCGUGAGCAACCUGCCCUUGAGCGGGGGACAACAGCUGGAAACGGCUGCUAAUACCGCAUGAGACCACGGUUUCGCAUGAAACUGAGGUAAAAGGAUUUAUUCGAUCAAGGAUGGGCUCGCGUCCCAUUAGGUAGUUGGUGAGGUAACGGCUCACCAAGCCUGCGAUGGGUAGCCGACCUGAGAGGGUGAUCGGCCACACUGGAACUGAGACACGGUCCAGACUCCUACGGGAGGCAGCAGUGGGGAAUAUUGGGCAAUGGGCGCAAGCCUGACCCAGCAACGCCGCGUGAGGGAAGAAGGCCUUCGGGUUGUAAACCUUUGUCCUGUGGGACGAAGAAGUGACGGUACCACAGGAGGAAGCCCCGGCUAACUACGUGCCAGCCGCCGC
RNAcentral lists this ribosomal RNA (496 nucleotides) under uncultured bacterium. RNAcentral describes it as "bacterial SSU rRNA". It matches the Rfam family "Bacterial small subunit ribosomal RNA", at positions 28 to 518 of the family's 1533-position model. The record is from RNAcentral.